Molecule: ribosomal RNA, 497 nt
Filed under: uncultured bacterium
Lineage: Bacteria
Description: bacterial SSU rRNA
Rfam family: Bacterial small subunit ribosomal RNA
Source: RNAcentral
AGAGUUUGAUCAUGGCUCAGGAUGAACGCUAGCGGAGGCCUAACACAUGCAAGCCGAGCGGUAGAGAUUCUUCGGAAUCUUGAGAGCGGCGUACGGGUGCGGAACACGUGUGCAACCUACCUUUAUCUGGAGGAUAGCCUUUCGAAAGGAAGAUUAAUACUCCAUAAUAUAUUGAUUGGCAUCAAUUGAUAUUGAAAGCUCCGGCGGAUAGAGAUGGGCACGCGCAAGAUUAGUUAGUUGGUGAGGUAACGGCUCACCAAGACGAUGAUCUUUAGGGGCCUGAGAGGGUGAUCCCCCACACAGGUACUGAGACACGGACCAGACUCCUACGGGAGGCAGCAGUGAGGAAUAUUGGUCAAUGGGUGCAAGCCUGAACCAGCCAUCCCGCGUGAAGGACGACUGCCCUAUGGGUUGUAAACUUCUUUUGUAUAGGGAUAAACCUACCCUCGUGAGGGUAGCUGAAGGUACUAUACGAAUAAGCACCGGCUAACUCCGUG